UCACCCACUGUGAAGGGGGCGGGGAGUGUGAGGUGACGGGCUGGAGGGGCCGGCGGGUACCGGGAGGCGGUGAGGAGACACGGACAGAGGAGCCCACGCACCGCCGGUGAUUCCCAGUGACUCCUCUGAGGCAAAAUGUCGCAGAGAUCGGGGCAGGAAGACCCCGAGCGUUACCUCUUCGUGGAUCGCGAUGUGGUGUACAACCCCACCACGCAGGCCGACUGGACGGCCAAGAAGCUGGUGUGGGUGCCGUCGGAGCGGCACGGCUUCGAGGCGGCCAGCAUAAAGGAAGAGCGGGGGGAAGAAGUGGUGGUGGAGCUGGCCGAGAACGGCAAGAAGGCCAUGGUAAACAAGGACGAUAUCCAGAAGAUGAACCCACCCAAGUUCUCCAAGGUGGAGGACAUGGCGGAACUGACGUGCCUGAACGAGGCGUCCGUGCUGCACAACCUGAAGGACCGAUACUACUCCGGCCUCAUCUAUACAUACUCCGGGCUCUUCUGCGUGGUGAUAAACCCCUACAAGAACCUUCCUAUCUAUUCUGAGAACAUCAUCGAGAUGUACCGCGGAAAGAAGCGCCACGAGAUGCCGCCGCACAUAUACGCCAUAUCCGAGUCUGCCUACCGCUGCAUGCUGCAAGAUCGCGAGGACCAAUCAAUUCUUUGCACAGGCGAAUCUGGAGCCGGGAAGACGGAAAACACCAAGAAAGUCAUUCAGUAUUUGGCUCACGUUGCCUCGUCCCAUAAGGGGAAAAAGGACCACACCAUUCCCACCGAAUCUCCCAAGGCCAUGAAGCACCAGAGUGGAUCGUUGUUGUAUGGUGAACUAGAGCGUCAGCUCCUCCAAGCCAACCCCAUCCUGGAGUCCUUUGGAAAUGCCAAGACCGUCAAAAAUGACAACUCCUCUCGCUUCGGCAAAUUCAUCCGAAUUAAUUUCGACGUGACUGGUUAUAUCGUUGGGGCCAAUAUAGAGACCUAUCUGCUGGAGAAGUCUCGCGCUAUUCGCCAAGCGAAGGAUGAAAGGACCUUCCAUAUCUUUUAUCAGCUGCUCGCUGGCUCAGGGGAACACCUCAAAUCUGAUUUGCUGCUAGACGGAUUUAACAACUACCGCUUUGUGUCCAACGGCUACAUCCCCAUCCCGGGGCAACAGGACAAGGACAACUUCCAGGAGACGAUGGAAGCCAUGCACAUCAUGGGCUUCUCACAUGAAGAGAUACUGUCCAUGCUCAAAGUGGUAUCUGCCGUGCUACAAUUUGGGAACAUUACUUUCAAGAAAGAGCGGAACACAGACCAGGCGUCUAUGCCCGAAAACACAGCCGCACAGAAACUCUGCCACCUAUUGGGUCUGAACAUCAUGGAGUUCACCCGCGCCAUCCUUACACCGCGCAUCAAGGUGGGCAGGGACUACGUGCAGAAGGCGCAGACUAAAGAACAGGCUGACUUUGCGGUGGAAGCCCUGGCUAAGGCCACCUACGAGAGACUGUUCCGCUGGCUGGUCCACCGGAUCAAUAAAGCGCUGGAUCGCACCAAGCGACAAGGAGCUUCGUUUAUUGGGAUUCUGGACAUCGCCGGAUUUGAGAUCUUUGAGUUGAACUCCUUCGAGCAGCUCUGCAUCAACUACACCAACGAGAAGCUUCAGCAGCUCUUCAAUCACACCAUGUUCAUCCUGGAGCAGGAGGAGUACCAGCGGGAGGGCAUCGAGUGGAACUUCAUUGAUUUUGGCCUUGACCUGCAGCCUUGCAUUGACCUGAUCGAGAGGCCGGCCAACCCCCCCGGGGUCCUUGCCUUGCUGGACGAGGAGUGCUGGUUCCCCAAAGCCACAGACAAAAGCUUUGUGGACAAACUGGUUCAGGAGCAGGGAACCCACUCCAAGUUCCAGAAGCCGCGCCAACUCAAGGACAAGGCGGAUUUCUGCAUCAUCCACUACGCGGGAAGGGUGGAUUAUAAGGCAGACGAAUGGCUGAUGAAGAACAUGGACCCUCUGAAUGACAACGUUGCCACGCUGCUUCACCAGUCCUCCGACAAGUUUGUGGGCGAGCUGUGGAAAGAUGUGGAUCGGAUCGUGGGGUUGGACCAGGUCGCAGGAAUGGCAGAGACGGCUUUCGGGGCGGCCUACAAGACCAAGAAGGGCAUGUUCCGCACAGUGGGGCAACUGUACAAGGAGUCUCUGACGAAGCUGAUGGCGACGCUGCGCAACACCAACCCCAACUUUGUGCGCUGCAUCAUCCCCAAUCAUGAGAAGCGGGCGGGGAAACUCGACCCACAUUUGGUGCUGGACCAGCUGAGGUGUAACGGUGUCCUGGAAGGGAUCCGAAUCUGCCGGCAGGGAUUCCCUAACCGGAUCGUGUUCCAGGAGUUCCGCCAAAGAUAUGAGAUCCUCACACCCAACGCCAUCCCGAAAGGGUUCAUGGAUGGGAAGCAAGCAUGCGAGCGAAUGAUCCGGGCUCUGGAAUUGGAUCCAAACCUUUACAGGAUUGGGCAGAGUAAGAUCUUCUUCCGUGCCGGGGUCCUGGCUCAUCUGGAGGAGGAACGGGACCUGAAGAUCACAGAUAUCAUCAUACUCUUCCAGGCCGUCUGCAGGGGAUACCUAGCUCGCAAGGCCUUCGCCAAAAAACAACAGCAGCUGAUCGCCCUCAAAGUGCUGCAAAGAAACUGCGCCGCCUACCUCAAGCUGCGGCAUUGGCAGUGGUGGCGCCUCUUUACCAAGGUAAAACCGCUGCUCCAGGUGACUCGGCAGGAGGAAGAACUGCUGGCCAAGGAUGAAGAACUGCUGAAGGUCAAGGAGAAACAGUCCAAAGUGGAGGGAGAACUGGUGGAAAUGGAGCGAAAGCAACAGCAGCUGGUGGAGGAGAAGAACAUCCUCGCCGAGCAGCUUCAAGCAGAGACGGAGCUGUUUGCCGAAGCCGAGGAGAUGCGUGCCCGUCUGGCCAUCAAAAAGCAGGAGUUGGAGGAGAUUCUGAGAGAUCUGGAGAUCCGCAUGGAGGAAGAGGAGGAGAGGAACCAGGUGCUGCAGAAUGAGAAGAAGAAGAUGCAGGCGCAUGUUCAGGACCUGGAGGAGCAGCUUGACGAGGAAGAAGCCGCCCGGCAGAAGCUGCAGUUGGAGAAGGUGACGGCAGAAGCCAAGAUCAAGAAGAUGGAGGAAGAUAUCCUGGUGCUCGAGGACCAGAAUUCCAAGUUCCUGAAGGAGAAGAAGCUACUGGAGGAACGGAUUGCAGAGUCGACCUCUCAGCUGGCCGAGGAAGAAGAGAAAGCCAAAAAUCUGGCCAAGCUGAAGAACAAGCAAGAGAUGAUGAUCACAGACCUUGAAGAGAGGCUAAAGAAGGAGGAGAAGACGAGGCAGGAGCUGGAGAAAGCAAAAAGGAAGCUGGACGGGGAGACCACAGACCUCCAGGACCAAAUCGCUGAGCUGCAGGCUCAAAUUGAGGAGCUCAAGCUACAACUCGCCAAGAAAGAGGAGGAGCUACAGGCUGCAUUGGCCAGGGGAGACGAGGAGGUUCUGCAGAAGAACAACACCCUGAAGGUGGUGCGGGAGCUGCAGGCACAGAUCGCUGAGCUGCAAGAAGACCUUGAGUCAGAAAAGGCGUCCCGCAACAAAGCUGAGAAGCAAAAGAGGGACCUGAGUGAGGAGCUGGAGGCCCUAAAGACUGAGCUAGAGGAUACUCUGGAUACCACCGCAGCCCAACAAGAACUGAGGACGAAAAGGGAGCAGGAGGUGGCAGAACUGAAGAAGAGCAUUGAAGAGGAGACCCGAAACCAUGAAGCUCAGAUCCAGGAGAUGAGGCAGCGACAGGCAACAGCCCUCGAGGAGCUCUCUGAGCAGCUGGAACAGGCCAAGAGGUUCAAGGGAAACCUAGAGAAGAACAAGCAGAGCCUGGAGUCAGACAAUAAGGAGCUGGCCACUGAGGUGAAGUCUCUGCAACAGAUGAAGGCAGAGUCUGAGUAUAAGCGGAAGAAGCUGGAAGGUCAAGUGCAGGAGCUACACACCAAGGUGUUGGAAGGAGACCGCCUGCGGGCCGACAUGGUGGAGAAGAGCAGCAAGCUGCAGAACGAACUGGAAAAUGUUUCCUCUCUGCUAGAAGAAGCUGAAAAGAAAGGGAUCAAGCUGGCAAAGGAUGCAGCGAGCCUGGAGUCCCAGCUACAGGACACACAGGAACUGCUCCAAGAGGAAACCCGGCAGAAGUUAAACCUAAGCAGCCGCAUCCGACAACUGGAGGAGGAAAAGAACAACCUGCAGGAGCAGCAGGAAGAGGAAGAGGAGGCUCGGAAAGCCCUGGAAAAGCAGAUCCUCAGUCUGCAGUCUCAGCUGGUAGAGGCCAAGAAGAAAGUGGAUGAUGAUGUGGGCACCAUCGAGGGCCUGGAGGAAGUGAAGAAGAAGCUCCUAAAGGACAUGGAGAGUCUGGGACAAAGACUGGAAGAGAAGGGCAUUGCCCACGAGAAACUAGAGAAAACCAAAAACCGGCUCCAGCAGGAACUAGAUGAUCUGAUGGUGGAUCUGGAUCACCAGAGGCAGAUUGUGUCCAACCUGGAGAAGAAGCAGAAGAAGUUUGAUCAGCUCCUGGCAGAGGAGAAGAACAUCUCUGCCCGCAACGCAGAGGAGCGAGACCGAGCCGAGGCUGAUGCCCGUGAGAAGGAAACCAAGGCCCUGUCCUUGGCCCGAGCCUUGGAUGAAGCUCUGGAAGGUCGGGAUGAGUUUGAAAGGCUGAACAAACAGCUGCGGGCAGAGAUGGAAGAUCUCAUGAGCUCCAAAGAUGAUGUGGGGAAGAACGUUCAUGAGCUGGAGAAGUCAAAGCGGGCACUUGAGCAGCAGGUGGAGGAGAUGCGCACUCAGCUGGAGGAGCUGGAGGAUGAACUGCAGGGCACGGAGGAUGCCAAGCUGCGCCUGGAAGUGAACAUGCAGGCCAUGAAGGCUCAGUUUGAACGGGACCUGCAGACCCGGGAUGAGCAGAACGAAGAAAAGAAACGGGCGCUGGUGAAACAGGUGCGGGAGCUGGAAGCUGAGCUGGAGGAUGAGCGCAAGCAGAGAGCUAUGGCCGUGGCCAUCAAGAAGAAGUUGGAGAUGGAUAUGAAGGACUUGGAGUCCCAAAUCGAAGCUGCAAAUAAAGGCAGGGAAGAUGCCAUCAAACAGCUGCGCAAGCUUCAGGCCCAGAUGAAGGAUUACCAGCGGGAGCUGGAGGAGGCACGGGCAUCACGAGACGACAUCUUUGCUCAGUCCAAGGAGAACGAGAAGAAGCUGAAGAGUUUGGAGGCGGAAAUUCUUCAGUUGCAGGAGGAACUGGCAUCUUCAGAGCGCUCACGGCGACAUGCAGAGCAGGAACGGGACGAGCUUGCUGAUGAGAUUUCCAACAGCACAUCUGGAAAGUCCGCCCUCCUGGACGAGAAGAGACGCCUGGAAGCGAGGAUCGCCCAGUUAGAGGAGGAGCUGGAGGAAGAGCAAAGCAACAUGGAGCUGCUGAACGAUCGGUUCCGUAAAACUACCCUGCAGGUGGACACCCUGAAUUCUGAGUUGGCUGGAGAGCGCAGUUCAGCCCAAAAAAGCGAGAACGCUCGGCAGCAGCUGGAGCGGCAGAACAAGGAACUGAAGGCCAAACUACAGGAACUGGAGGGUUCCGUAAAGUCCAAAUUUAAAGCCACUAUUGCCACUCUGGAGUCUAAGAUUGCACAACUGGAAGAGCAGCUGGAGCAGGAGGCCAAGGAGCGAGCUGCCUCUAACAAACUGGUGCGCAGGACUGAGAAGAAGCUGAAGGAGGUGUUCAUGCAGGUGGAGGAUGAGCGCAGGCACGCCGACCAGUACAAAGAGCAGAUGGAGAAGGCCAAUACCCGCAUGAAACAGCUGAAGAGGCAACUGGAGGAGGCGGAAGAGGAAGCCACUCGCGCCAACGCAUCGCGGCGCAAACUCCAGCGGGAACUCGACGAUGCAACCGAGGCCAAUGAGGUGUUGAGCCGGGAAGUGUCCACCCUGAAGAACAGACUGAGAAGGGGCGGGCCCGUGUCCUUCUCUUCCUCCUCCAGCCGCUCGGGCAGGCGCCAGCUGCAGAUCGAGGGGGCAUCCCUGGAUAUCUCCGACGAUGAAAUAGAAACGAAAAACGCUGAGGUCAACGAAGUCCCCACCCCAACGGAGUGAGCCGCUCCCUCGCCAGGUUCCCGGGGGCCCCCACACCUCUCAGCCCGGAGCAUUGGCGCAGCCGCACCCUCAUUGGCAAAAAGUGCUUUUGUCUUUUUUUUUAUUUUAUUUUAUUAAUUCCAAAAUACAGAUCCAUUGAACUUGUUCUGCCGAAUUCCCCCCCUCCCCCCCAAAAAAAGGCCCAGAUCUGCACCCAGGGGGCUACACUCCCAGCCUUUCAGAUCUCCAAUCAGACUUCUCCUUUCUCUCCAUGGCACCAUGUGAAGUAUCUGAACACUACGUCUGUGGCCCCGUCCCACGUGGGGUGAGGGUGGCAGUGGGGGGCAUUUGCUUCAUUUCUCACCCCUUUGCUUCUCGCAGCUGCUACAUUCCCCCCCUCCCACCCUGGUUCUGUCGACAGCAGAAGAACUCAACUGUGAAUCCGUUACUGUCCUUUCCUUGCGCCCCCCCCCCCCCCCAAUCCCUCAGUCUCUGCAAGGGUUCAAGGGGCCCACUUGGUUCCACAAACAGAAUUUCUGCUCCUCUGUCAGACUGGCUAUGGAAAUGUCAAUCACUUCUAGUCCCCGCCCAUAUCAUGCUCUUUCAGGCUGGGAUAGGCCACUCACUCCCCGGCUUCUAUUGGGUGUGGCAUUUGGUGGGCGUGGUAUUCGCAGGGUAUGGGGGCUAUAACACAUUUGAAACCCCCAAUCCCUAACUGCGUACCCUUUUACAAUGCUUAAAGUCAUACAUAAGACAAACUGUGCCUUAGACACUUAAAAUCUGAGAAAAAUAUAGUUAAAAAACGAAAUAAUGACAUAUCUACCUGCCACCGACCAAUCAGAUGUGAUCGUUCCUCGCGCUUUAUGUUACGAUAUGAAGAGAUCAGUCAGUAUUACCCAGAAGCCUCAGUCAUGUGCUGGACAUAUCACUUUAUUUGUAUUUUGUUUUUUUAGUUGUUGAGCUUAAAUCUUUUAUUGAGCGUUUCUGGCCCGAGGGUCCAGCGCGGAUCUGUGCGCAUUCGUCUCUAUUCAUUAUCAUUAUAUAUAUUAUUUUUUUUAACACAUAACAGCUGCAAGCUCCUCCCUCUCUGCUAAACCCGCCUCACCCCUGCCCCGCCCCUCUGUAUAGCCCAUAUUUCUAGACAACGAAUUUUGUAAGACAAUAAACUUAUUCAUUAUAGAA
Non-coding RNA from Xenopus tropicalis (tropical clawed frog), 7278 nucleotides. The record is from RefSeq and is a predicted model, not a curated record. Lineage: Eukaryota; Metazoa; Chordata; Amphibia; Anura; Pipidae.